GCAUCCUGGUGGCGAGUGGCGAACGGGUGAGUAAUAUAUCGGAACGUGCCCAGUCGUGGGGGAUAACGCAGCGAAAGCUGUGCUAAUACCGCAUACGAUCUAUGGAUGAAAGCGGGGGAUCGCAAGACCUCGCGCGAUUGGAGCGGCCGAUAUCAGAUUAGGUAGUUGGUGGGGUAAAAGCUCACCAAGCCGACGAUCUGUAGCUGGUCUGAGAGGACGACCAGCCACACUGGAACUGAGACACGGUCCAGACUCCUACGGGAGGCAGCAGUGGGGAAUUUUGGACAAUGGGCGCAAGCCUGAUCCAGCAAUGCCGCGUGCAGGAUGAAGGCCUUCGGGUUGUAAACUGCUUUUGUACGGAACGAAACGGUCCUUUCUAAUACAAGGGGCUAAUGACGGUACCGUAAGAAUAAGCACCGGCUAAC
Molecule: ribosomal RNA, 425 nt
Filed under: uncultured bacterium
Lineage: Bacteria
Description: bacterial SSU rRNA
Rfam family: Bacterial small subunit ribosomal RNA
Source: RNAcentral